Molecule: ribosomal RNA, 258 nt
Filed under: uncultured bacterium
Lineage: Bacteria
Description: partial 16S ribosomal RNA
Rfam family: Bacterial small subunit ribosomal RNA
Source: RNAcentral
UGGCGGACGGGUGAGUAACACGUGAGCAACCUGCCUUUCAGUGGGGGACAACAGUUGGAAACGACUGCUAAUACCGCAUAACGUGCCGGAAGGGCAUCCUUUUGGUACCAAAGAUUUAUCGCUGAAAGAUGGGCUCGCGUCUGAUUAGAUAGUUGGUGAGGUAACGGCCCACCAAGUCGACGAUCAGUAGCCGGACUGAGAGGUUGGCCGGCCACAUUGGGACUGAGACACGGCCCAGACUCCUACGGGAGGCAGCAG